Non-coding RNA from Acanthosepion pharaonis, 112 nucleotides. NCBI's taxonomy places the organism in Eukaryota, Metazoa, Mollusca, Cephalopoda, Sepiida, Sepiidae. The record is from the annotation of a GenBank genome assembly.
AUGGUCAUGUCAUGUUUAAAAACCGGUUCUCGUACGAUCGCUGUAGUUAAGCAAUGUUGAGCUUGGUCAGUACCUGGAUGGCUAACCGCUUGAGAAUACCAGAUGUUGUAAG